This is a non-coding RNA of Chrysemys picta bellii (western painted turtle), 2521 nucleotides long. The record is from RefSeq and is a predicted model, not a curated record. NCBI's taxonomy places the organism in Eukaryota, Metazoa, Chordata, Testudines, Emydidae.
AUUAUGAGCUCUGCUUUGGAUUCAGACAAGUUAAUGUGAGCUAAAACAAAAGCCUCCACCUGAAUGUCAUUGAAGCCAAAGUAUAUUUAGGGCAAGAGCAAACUUAAAAAAAAACCAUUCUUUACUGACCUUUGUCUUUAGAACCCAUAGUGAGUGAUACAGUGACAAUGUAACUAAAACAAAUAUUUCAAUUAAUAUAACAUAGAUGGAGACCAAAUGUUUUAUAAGGGAAGCUUUUGUCCAUUUCGUUCUGAGGGAAUGAAAGGAGCUAAAGAGUUGUUUGUAAUUUUUGCCGAAGCCCUUAAAAUUCUUAACCUUGAAGUAAAAGUGACUGUCCCUUAUCUCUUUGAACAUAGGGAACAUGCUAAGAUCUGAAACUUUUUUUUUCCCUGCAGCUGUAGCUAAAGCGUCCCCCAAAAACUUCUGACAAAAGAGGCCUGGAUUUGAAUGGGUUCUAGAGAUGACAUUCUGAAUUCUCAGGACUGGAACCACAUGUUCCCUCUGGCCACUGUCCAGCAUCCCAAAGCAGCAUUGCACUACCUAUUAAUGAAGGAAUAUUGGAUCCAGCAAAAGAUCUCUGGGCUACCCAGCCUCCAUUCCAGCAACUGAAAAAUGUGCUGGUUAUAGAUAUUGGAUGCCAUCUAAAGGAUUUGAGCUAAAGAAAUUAUUAUUAAACUAAUAUUAAAAUUGUUCGCAAGUACCAUAUUUGGAUUUUUGAGUUCAAGAAUAGUUAUAUAUUGGCGGUCUCAUGUCUUCAAUGAUGGAUUAACUGGAGUAAUCUUCUUAAUGACAUACCUGAUUUUCUUCAUUGGUGCUGUAGUUACCAUGAGUCCAAUUUUGCAGGGUAGAGAGGAAUUAAAACUAAUAAAUGGAAAAACUGUAAACGGUUAAACAAUUUUAAGCACUGCAGGUCAGUAAAUGAAAGUUUUACUGUUCUCAUACUAACAUUAACAAGGCUAUGUUGUACAUCUUUUUUAUUUUAUUAUGUAAGUCUGAUUAGUUAUAUAUUAAAUUAUAUUCUUUUAAAAAGAAAAAAGAUUACAAAAUUUUGCAAAAUGGCCACACAAAGUUUUCAGUGCAAAUAGAUGGCCUCACAUGGACAGUCGGUAUAUUACAUAGCACUUUUUUUUGCUUACGUCACUUUUGGAGAGCUAUAAGUAGACAAUGAAAUUGCAGAAUUUAGAUUUGAGGCUCAAGCUUUCUGUAGUCUUGCUGUGCUUCAAAUCAGGUGGACAAGGUAGUGCAUCCAGGCCUGGGUAGGAGCCUUUGUCUCAUGUCAAACCUCUCAACUACAAUGCACAGGGCUCUCAGAGGUAAUUCAAAGCUCCAGCCUCUCUGAAAGGGGUGCCUUCAUAUUCAAAUCAUUAAAAAGGCCAUACAACUUUAUAUAAAUAGAACAUAGGGGCUUGGGGUUCAUGAGAAUUUGUCCAUUUAUUCUGAGAGGCUAAAAGCCCACACAAAUAGUUUUUCAGGUGAAUCAUAGUAUGUAUCAGUGAUAUGUAUAAUGUUCUGGAUCACAGACAAUAUAGACACUUGUGUUUGUGCUGAUACAGCUUUAUUCAAGGCUGUUUUAACUUAUGAUCUUGAGAGAUUUUCCUGCCCUAUUGUUGUUGAGGAAAUAGUGCACCGAUCCCCUUAAGUUAGAGAUUGAUUUUACCCAUUCAGAGAAGAGAGAGGUUUUCUUAUCUAUUAAGAGUUGAUAAGAUCAUUAUUCUGUGGUUUACACUGUUAGUGUGCUUAUUUGUUGUUUGUCCUAUUUCUGAAAUAUUUUUCAUUGAGGCCAAUCACUUUUUCUUUAUAUGUAGUUUCAACUUCAAGUUUUUUCUCUGUUGUAUUAUCGUUGGUUAAGUGCUUCACUUAAGCCAAAUUUAGGUGUGAUUUUCUGACUCUUCUUUAACCAUUUCUCACUCCAGCCAAGUGCCUCUCCCCUCUCAACUUUAUACUUUAUUAUGAGUUAAAUAGCAUUCAUGGGUGAGGCUGCUAGAUCACCUGCAUUGGUGGCCAGAACUUCUGCUCUUUCACUAAUCAUUUCUGCUUGUUCAAGAGUGACUUAAGCAAAACUUUCAUCUGGUUAGAGACUGACUUUGUCCAUUACAGAAAUACCACUUACAGGUAAGAGAGAAAUCUAUUUAAAUUUGAAAACUAUGCACAGUACGUUUUUUACGUAGAAAGAUAUUCUUCUUCUUUGAAUGAUGUCCCUGUGGGUGCUCCACUUCAGGUGUCUGUGCACCCUGUGCCGUUGAUCGGAGAAUUUCAGCAGCAGUGUGUAUCUGGAUUGUGCAUGCGCCAUGGUUGUUUUGCAGCGCCAUUGGCGCCUCAUCUAUUGUAUGUGCAACUCGACACCCUCAGUUCCUUCUCUAUUGGCCCCAGCCUGAGAUGGAGCUCCAUAGCGGUGUCCCAACAUCUGUGACAAACCUAGAAAAAGUAGUUCGAAAUAGUUUUAAGUUUCAUAGUAUAGUUAGUAGUAGUUUAGUUAGUCUUCAUUAGUCUAAGGCCUGGUCUACACUAGGAGGUUAUGUCG